ACUCAACCUUCCAUUUUGAAAUGAGGUACACCGUACACGGGGCCUCUCUCGCGCGUAAAAAAAAUCCCCUUAUCUCUCUCAUCCGAUGCCCGACCACUCCCUCCCCCGAGGCCUCGACGAUGCUCUCUCCCGGCGGCGAUGGCGCUCUCACUCCUGACGGCGCUCUCCCUUGCCAUCGGCGCUCCUCUAGUGAAGGUUCGCGAGCUCGGCCUCUGCUCGGCGCGGCCAGAUGCGCAGGCACGGCAGGCCCUAGUUCCAUCCCACGGGACUACGACGGUCGCAUGGCCGAGGGGUCGGCCAUGGCGGCAUCUGGCCUGUCCCACCGCGCUAGCGGCACCUGCGAGCACUCCGGCGACCGGCUUAGCUGCAGGCAUGUCGCAGGUGUCCAGACAUGUCGCAAGCGUCCACGGCCUCACGCAUGGAUCUAGACGGCAAACCCACCAGUGGCGCUCCUCCCUCGGCGGCGGCGCUCUCCCCCGGCGGUGCGCUCGUCCCCCGAUGGUGCUCCUCCCCUGGUGACCGGGCUCUCCUAUACGACACAUACAAAGAUCCAUUUCGGUGGCGGUCCACUGCAUGAUGCAGUCCGCGGCGCUGCUGGUGCAAAGCAGUGGUAGCAGUUGGUGACGUGCAGUCCAUGGUCAUGGUGCGCACGGGGCCGCCCUCCAUGUGCUCCCAUUGUCCAAACAUCAGUCCUGUCCUUCCAAUGCAGCGGCCGCCCAACCGUUAUCCAUCAUUGGUGCUAGGUCCGGUGGGCUGCCAGCGGUGUACAGGAUAGCCAAUUCUGAUGGGAUUUCUCUAUGAUUCAUGGGCUAACACCAUGGAGGAGGUGCGAUGUGGCCAGAGAAGACGGAGAAGAAGCCGACGAGUUGGCGGUCCGAGGCCCACGACGUGCUGUUGCGGGCUCAAGCGGUGCUCCUUCCAAGGCGAUGGGUAUGAUCGAUGUUUGUCUGCUCCAUGUUAAUUUCUAUGCUUCAUGUGUGAUGGAUGUUAUUAGUUUCUCUGUAUGACUUCUUUGCGCAGAUUGUUACGAGGUAAAUAGAAGAGAGAGGAAUGCUAAUUGGUUACUCCUGGCAACUUGAUGGUUUGCAUUUUUGCACAUGCAAACCCACUGAUAGACUGAACAUGUUACCAGACAUAUAACCAUAUAACCACAGGCUGUUUGAAACAGCUGGUUAUUUUUUUGUAAAUAUGUCAAAUUAUAUGCAAGCAUGUGCCCUUGCAUAGAACACUUUUGGAUUUUUUUAACUCAUAGUUUCGUUGCCUGUGACUUUCUUCUUAUGCUUAUUAAGUUUAAAGAGAUUAAAGUACGAGCAGACCAAUUUUUUCUUUUCUUUUCUUCCAUAGGAUUAUUUGGAUGAGUAUUUAUAUCGAGAGGAAGAAGAGGGACACAGGAAACUGAAGUCCACGUGAUGGAGUUGGACUUCUUUUUUCAUGCAUUUUUGCUCUUGUUUUUAUGCAUUCUAUUUUGGGUAACUAUGAUUUACAGCUAAACAAGAGUCACUGCAACAACAUUGGCUGAACUAGCUGUCCUGUACCAUGUGUUGGAUUUUGAUUUAUAUACUUACAGUUCCAGGUUCAUGGUACAUGCAUAAUUCAUCUCCAUUGCUUGUGUACAAUGUAUUUUUUAAUGCAUCGGGCUGGACUGGCUGUAUAGGGUUCCAGCGGGAAAGAGGAAUAGGUAGAUUUUUUAUGAACAUGAAUUAUAUUUUUUGCUGUAUAAAAUAUUUUUUACUAGAACAAUUUGGUACUACGUCCUCCAAAAUGAAAUCUUUUUAUUUUUUGAGUGCAUAGAAAUUAAAAUCUUAGUAUUUAGAUAGGUAGCUACUCAGUUUUUUAUGCUGGUAGGCCGUAGGCGGCUGCUAGUUCAGUAAUCUAGUGGCAAGGUUUCUAUGCGGGCAAUUUUAGGCAGAAAGAUGCAGGUUUCCGUGCAGUUUAGAAGCUUUCAGGUGUCACCAGGUGCAAGCUUCUGUUCCUUUUUUUGUUUUUUUUAUAAAUUCGUACGUACCCAAUUAUAGGCUCAAGUGCUUGCUGCUCCUAGGCAUGGAGCAGUCCGUAAGAACUCAUGCUUGCGCGCUGCUCGCAUACUUUCUUACUGUUAUCAUUGCUUUUUAUGCCAUUGCCUGUUUAUGAUGUUUGUGCUGACGACUUGCUUAGGGUUUCUUUGAACGUUUUAGCAAUUAUGGUGGAUAUCAAAGCCAUCUUAAUUUUAUUUCUGCAUUUUUUGCCCUAAGGAGAUGAUGAAGAUCCAACAACUGGUGAGUACUUGCUUAUACUCGGAUCACUAGUGGCUUCCAUGACAUGAUCGAGGAGGUAUUUUUUGGAGGACAUUUCUAUAUUUUGUUGGAGCAGUUAUCUAUGUAUUUCUACACAAUUAUACAUUGUUGGAGCACACUUGUAUGCAUUGUUAGAACACUUUGACAUAAAUUAUUGGAACAGUUUUUUGUAAACUUCUACACAAUUCUAUAUAUUACUGGUACACAAUUCUAUACAACUUUCUAUGCAUUGUUUGGAUUAGGGCCACCACAAUUCCAGUACAAUAAUCCCACAUUUCUAUAUUUUGUUGGAGCAGUUGUCUACGCAUUUCUACACAAUUAUACAUUGUUGGAGCACACACGUAUGCAUUGUUAGAACACUUUGACAUAAAUUGUUGGAACAAUUAUUUGUAAACUUCUACACAAUUCUAUAUAUUAUUGGUACACAAUUCUAUACAACUUUCUAUGCAUUGUUUGGGUUAGGGCCACCACGAUUCCGGUACAAUAAUUCCACAUUUUUGUAUUUUGUUGGAGCAGUUAUCUAUGCAUUUCUACACAAUUAUACAUUGUUGGAGCACACAUGUAUGCAUUGUUAGAACACUUUGACAUAAAUUGUUGGAAUAGUUUUUGUAAACUUCUACACAAUUCUAUAUAUUAUUGGUGCAUAAUUCUAUACAACUUUUUAUGCAUUGUUUGGUUAGGGCCACCAUGAUUUCGGUACAAUAAUCCCCCAGAAGGAAGGGUAUUUUGUGUUCUAUGCACUAUCCCUCUAUCAAUUGUACGUCUCUGAGAAUAAUGUUUUAGGAUGGGGUUGCCACGGCUUUGGAUAAAAUAAUCUCCCACUAAGGAGGGUUGUAUCAGGUUCUAUGCAUUGUUUCUCUAUUAAUUACCAAGCUAGAUGCAAGGUUUGGUUACGACCAUAAUAGGUUUCUAUGCUCGCAGAAACAUGUUUAUGUGCCUUUUUUUGUCGCUGUAAGGUUUUCCCGCGCACUACAUGUUUCUAUGCCUUUCUUUUGCUGCUGUCAAGUUUCUGCACCUGCUAAAACAUGUUUCUUUUCCUUUAUUGUGAUAUAGCAUGGUUGGAAAGAUUCCUCUCCAUUUGGUGUGAGAGGUCAAUGGUGGCUCAGACAUAGGACAUGGCUUGUGGCGUCCACGGCUUCCUUGGCUUGCGGUGGUGGCGCAGUGUCAUCUUAAUGUAGUUGAUUGGUUAAUGUAAAAAGCUAGUUUUCCAUACAUUGUGUUUAUAUGCUUGGAUGAGAUGAGCAAAACUAUUUGUUUCUAUGUAACCUCAGUUGGAUUCCAAUAUAUUGUUGACUUAGUUUCUA
Sorghum bicolor (sorghum) is the source of this 3577-nucleotide long non-coding RNA. RefSeq lists it as uncharacterized. The transcript has 4 exons. NCBI's taxonomy places the organism in Eukaryota, Viridiplantae, Streptophyta, Magnoliopsida, Poales, Poaceae. The record is from RefSeq and is a predicted model, not a curated record.